This 406-nucleotide ribosomal RNA is filed under the name uncultured bacterium. RNAcentral describes it as "partial 16S ribosomal RNA". It matches the Rfam family "Bacterial small subunit ribosomal RNA", at positions 28 to 526 of the family's 1533-position model. The record is from RNAcentral.
GAUGAACGCUAGCUACAGGCUUAACACAUGCAAGUCGAGGGACCGGCGCACGGGUGAGUAACACGUAUCCAACCUGCCCUUUACUCGGGGAUAGCCUUUCGCAAGAAAGAUUAAUACCCGAUAUAAAGGAUGGGGAUGCGUUCCAUUCGGUUGUUGGUAAGGUAACGGCCCUCCAAGCCUUCGAUGCAUAGGGGUUCGGAGAGGAAGGUACCCCGCAUGUGAACUGAGACACAGUCCAAAAUCGGAGGGGAGGGAGCAGUAAGGAAGAUUGGGGAAUGGGCGGUAGCCUGAACCAGCCAAGUAGCGGGAAGAAUGAAGGGUUAUGAGUCGUAAACUUCUUGUAUAGAAGAAGAGGUAUUAUAGGAAUAAGGAUCGGCUAACUCCGUGCCAGCAGCCGCGGUAAUAC